GCCCUAGUGGUACAAUAGUUAAGCACUUGGCUGCUAACCAAAAGGUUGGUGGUUCUAACCCACCUAGCGGCU
Molecule: transfer RNA, 72 nt
Filed under: Loxodonta africana (African savanna elephant)
Lineage: Eukaryota; Metazoa; Chordata; Mammalia; Proboscidea; Elephantidae
Rfam family: tRNA
About the family: Transfer RNA (tRNA) molecules are approximately 80 nucleotides in length. Their secondary structure includes four short double-helical elements and three loops (D, anti-codon, and T loops). Further hydrogen bonds mediate the characteristic L-shaped molecular structure. tRNAs have two regions of fundamental functional importance: the anti-codon, which is responsible for specific mRNA codon recognition, and the 3' end, to which the tRNAs corresponding amino acid is attached (by aminoacyl-tRNA synthetases). tRNAs cope with the degeneracy of the genetic code in two manners: having more than one tRNA (with a specific anti-codon) for a particular amino acid; and 'wobble' base-pairing, i.e. permitting non-standard base-pairing at the 3rd anti-codon position.
Source: Rfam by way of RNAcentral